UACGUAGGUGGCAAGCGUUAUCCGGAAUUAUUGGGCGUAAAGCGCGCGCAGGCGGUCCUUUAAGUCUGAUGUGAAAGCCCACGGCUCAACCGUGGAGGGUCAUUGGAAACUGGGGGACUUGAGUGCAGAAGAGGGGCGUGGAAUUCCGGGUGGAGCGGUGAAAUGCGUAGAGAUCCGGAGGAACACCGACGGCGAAGGCAGCGCCCUGGCCGACGACUGACGCUCAGGCACGAAAGCUGGGGGAGCAAACAGG
Molecule: ribosomal RNA, 253 nt
Filed under: uncultured bacterium
Lineage: Bacteria
Description: partial 16S ribosomal RNA
Rfam family: Bacterial small subunit ribosomal RNA
Source: RNAcentral